ACGGGAGGCAGCAGUGGGGAAUAUUGGGCAAUGGGCGAAAGCCUGACCCAGCAACGCCGCGUGAAGGAAGAAGGCCUUCGGGUUGUAAACUUCUUUUACCAGGGACGAAGAAUGUGACGGUACCUGGAGAAAAAGCAACGGCUAACUACGUGCCAGCAGCCGCGGUAAUACGUAGGUUGCAAGCGUUGUCCGGAUUUACUGGGUGUAAAGGGAGCGUAGACGGCAUGGCAAGUCUGAUGUGAAAACCCGGGGCUCAACCCCGGGACUGCAUUGGAAACUGUCAGGCUAGAGUGCAGGAGAGGUAAGUGGAAUUCCUAGUGUAGCGGUGAAAUGCGUAGAUAUUAGGAGGAACACCAGUGGCGAAGGCGGCUUACUGGACUGUAACUGACGUUGAGGCUCGAAAGCGUGGGGAGCAAACAGGAUUAGAUACCCUGGUA
RNAcentral lists this ribosomal RNA (437 nucleotides) under uncultured Lachnospiraceae bacterium. RNAcentral describes it as "partial 16S ribosomal RNA". It matches the Rfam family "Bacterial small subunit ribosomal RNA", at positions 341 to 792 of the family's 1533-position model. The record is from RNAcentral. Lineage: Bacteria; Bacillati; Bacillota; Clostridia; Lachnospirales; Lachnospiraceae.